This 4038-nucleotide long non-coding RNA is filed under the name Canis lupus familiaris (dog). RNAcentral describes it as "lncRNA (ENSCAFG00845024992.1)". The record is from RNAcentral. Lineage: Eukaryota; Metazoa; Chordata; Mammalia; Carnivora; Canidae.
CCAAACCGCUGCGCCACCCAGGGAUCCCUCCAUUCCUGCCUUUAUAGCCACUUUAUGUAUAGUUAUUAGAUGCGUGGGGAAAGAAGCCAGCAUUCAUAAGAUGGACCAGCUAGUUUAAUGAUUUUUGAAAGCCUCUUCUACAGUGGCUAUAUUUUUUUAAAAAAACUUUUUAAAGAUUUUAUUUAUUUAUUCAUGAGACACACACACACACACACACACACACACACACAGAGGCAGAGACACAGGCAGAGGGAGAAGCAGGCUCCAUGCAGGGAACCCGAUAUGAGACUCGAUCCGGGGACUCCUGGAUCACGCCCUGGGCCAAAGGCAGGCGCUAAACUGCUGAGCCACCCAGGGAUCCCCAUAUAAGAAAUCACAUGAGACACAAGAUCAUCCCACUGUGUACCUAUUACAAGAAAUCCAUCCACAUACAUCUUCUCUAGACUCUUUCACCAUCAAUCAUCCAAUCCUGUUCUUCCCAAUAAGGGAAUCCUUUCUAACCAAUAAGCUGAGCCGUUCGUUGUCACUCAGGAGUAAGAUCGUCAGGUCAUGCCUCCUUUCAAGUAAAAUGGAAAAUUAUAUAUAUUGACUCUUUUUCUCCUUCUCUAGACCUUCACCUCUGAGUGGGCAUAUGAAGUAGCAAUACAUCAUUCUCAGCUGGUGCCAGCUUAGCCUGCAGCACUCUUUAAAAACAAGGUCUGGGGUGUUUUUUAAUGUAUGUGUCAGCUAUUCACAAGAAACUCUCUCCAUGACGCUAUAAGUGUGAGCUUAAAAAAUUGUGACAAUGCCUCAUGAGUAGGUGUCAUGUGAGCAUCAGCCACGUGUCCAGGCAGUUUUCUUAUUCCUUCAGUACCUUCGAGUCUAAUCUAGACCAUAAUACUCUGCAUCUAAUCACUCAAUAAAUCAUAAUUAUUGAUCCUUCACAAUCUUAAGGAUAAAUCUGAUAAUGCCUAAUGCAUGGUAGACAUCUCAGGUUACACUGUGUCCUGGUGUCUAAUGAUCUAACACCUAGUCUCUACCAGAUCUCAUUAAUAAGUCAGGAAUUGCUUCUCAAAAUGAAAUCGUUAUCAGCAGAAGACUUUUCCUCCAAGUCCUAGGAAGCUAUCCAUUCAUCUUUUAAUAUAGAUUAACAGAGGUUUUAUAUGUUAUCCUUAUUUAUUAUUCAUACUUGGAACACAAUUGAAUUUGAUGGAUGACAAGGAAGCUUGAGUGUGUGGUAGUCUUCUUUUGCUUUGUUCCCACCCAAAACAUGCAAAGUUGUGGGUAACUCAAUAAAUGGAUCAGAGCAUCACUCCCAAAAGUUCUCCAAGAGAGUCUGACAAGCACUAUACUACUCUGUUAACGGUAGACAGUGAAAGGCACAUCUUCCCUUCCAUUCAGAAGAAAUAUCAUAAAAUUCCUAAGACCUUUGCGCUCCCAAAAUUUACUGACUUGGCAAUCCCUAGAUAGGAUUUAUCUCUCAAGUACUAGCACAUAUGUAGACAACUGUGGAAUCUAGUACACUUGUAAUUUCUCCACAGUUCAAGUUGCAUGACGUCAUUAAUAUAGUGCUCCACAGCAAAAUUCUCUACAGAUGUUCAGAUGAUCAAUGUUGGAGCAGAUUACUGUGCAUCAGUUACCAAUCCCAGGAGAGAACUCUAAGCCCUUCUCCCAAUUGCACCUUGUCAUCAGAGUCACCCGGAACACAAUGCAGUCCAGCACUGGGUGAAACAAUACUUAACCUUAACUUUUAUAAAGAACAGAUAGAGAAAGAUAAGCUUCUAUAGUGGCUGUCAUUCUUCUAUGGCUUUGGGUCUUUUCCUGUGGCUGAUACAGAGCAAUUUGUCUACUGUAGCUAUCCCUCUUGUACCACAGGAGAAAGACUUUGUCUCCUCCCUUCAGAAGACAGAUAUAACAAUGGAGUUGACCAUGUGCCAUAUGUCUCACAUACAUCAAAACAAAAGAAUUUUAUUUGAUUCUGAAACAGGGAAGGAAAUUCCCACACAAGAUGAGUUGUGGACUAUUUUCUCUUGAUAAGGAAGUGUUCCAAGCCCAACACCCAUUCUUACAUGGUGAGUGGGAGUUGAAAGACUGAGUGUGUGAGACUGUUCUUCCCAACAAUUAAUGUUCCACUGGGCUCUAGAGUAAAAAGAUUUGAAAAGACAUAAACUUGACAGUGAAGGUACACUUCCAUUCAUGUCAGGUGAAAAUGAAAUGCUUCUCAUCAUCUUUCUGAUUCCUGUGAUAGGGUAGAUUUCUUGCAAACAUGUAUGCAAUAAUUCCUCAUAUCCCUAUAUGAUACUUUUUGGCAAUGGGAUUGUGCCAUCCUUCACAUGAAGUAGCAUAUAUUUCUCCACCCUUUGAAUGAGAAAUGACCUUGUAAUUUGCUUUGACCAGCAAAAUGUCACAGAAAUGAUGCUGUGAGACUUCUAAGCCUCAAGAUGCCUUGAAGCUUCUGCUCUCACCUUCUACCUAGAAUCUGACUUUAAAGAAGCCAUAAAAAAGGACAACUAGGAAUAUGAUGACCUUUUGUUUUAUUGUUUUGGAGGUAAGGGGCAGUUCCAGGAGUUUCUCUUGUCCCAUCUUCCUAUCAUAAUAGUUCUUACUUCACACACAGGGAGGCAAUGUAGGGAUUUUUCAGUGGCCAAGAAUGUUUUUUCCAACUCUCCUUUCAGAAUCUGAGAUCUCCAUAGGCUGGAUCUGUGGGCCCAUAGAAACCUUUCUGAGAUGGAAUCAAGCUUGUAAAAUACUCAACACAGAAGGGACUUUUGCCACUUUUACUCAGAGCCCAAUCACACACCUGUGCCUAAUUACAAGAGGAUUAGAAAAUGUACAGAAGAACAUACAUAAUUUGGGGGCAGUAAAUUCUGCCACAAUUGUCUACUGCUAUUUGUCAGAAGAAAAGAAACUAACUUCAGUUUUAUUCCUCUGUAGCUAACUUUCAUUUGCUUUUGUUUACUAAGAUAUUUUAUAGUAUUUUCAUCUUGUUUUAAUGUUUCUCAAGGUGAAUGUAAGUAUGGAUUGAUUUUCACUGAUUUUUCUGGGAAUAUAAACUACUACAUUAGUCUCUAGUUCCUGCCUGGUAGUUUUGAGAAAAAAACUUUCUCUGGAUUCUGGUAUCAGUGUUAGAGAAAAGGAAGGUGGAAAAAGACAAGGGGCAAAGGCAAAAACUAUUUAACAGAGUAGAGAAAGAAUAUUUUCUCUUGGUUGGCUCAGACCUUGAAUUUCUAAGUCCAUUGACAUAGUGGGAAAGUUAUAAAUUGUCUUUCUACUUUUUUUAAAGAAGCAAGGCAAAAUGUAAGUGUGCUAUAACUUCAAAUCAGAUUAGAUUUUCUUAACUUUAGUUCUAUUUGCCUAUAAGGAAAGGAAGACUUUGCAUGGUUUCCAACAAUAAGUUGUUUGUUUUUUGAACUUUAAAGUUCUAUAAUGAGGUUUCAGCUCUUUCCAUGUUUUCUUUAGUUUUGCAGAAGGUUGAAAAAGACUGGGUAGAUAUGUGACUUUUUAAUCCAGGGCACAGCACAGUAAUUUAACAUACUAUUGAUCAUGUUGUAUCCUCAAAGUUGAUAAGGAUAGACUGGUACUUUGAGAACAUGAGAUUUAGGGUGGUUAAACUAUCCUGCUCUGUAGCAGUAGCAGUUUCACUAAAUACAAGAGUGUAUUUAAUGUUCACUGGCUCUCUCAAGCCUGCUGUAAUAUGACAAGAUUUCCAAAGCCUCCUCAGAAAUACUAAGUUGACUUCCAUUCUUCUCACUGAUUGUAUGUUCCCUAGUCCAGCCUUGAAUCCUACAUAUCAUGGAAACUCAUCAGCAUAACAUGAAAAAAAAAAAAAAAAAGAAGCCAAGAAAAGAAAGAAGGGAAUGAAAAGAAAAAAAAAAAUGCUUCAGACCGGGAAUGUUUCUAUGUAAAGAGAUCUGAAAUAUUUAUUUCCUAAUUGAGAGAUAAAAUGCAUGUAGAACAAAGCAGUUUGUGACCUGAGAAUUUUCUUUUUUUAUCUUCCCUAAUCCUUAUCUAUUUUCCCAUUUGAGCAAUAUGCAGAGAAUAAAGAGAGCCUAGAGACAG